ACCUCCCUCCCUGGAAGGGACCAAUCUGCUGACAGAGCCAGUGUAGUGUUUCAUUUUAAAGGGCAUUGGUUAGCUUAAAUAGUGGGGUUUUGCUAACUUGGCUCUUUUAGACUGAAAUUAAUUAGGGUGCUUGCCAACCUUCACCCCUUAGGCCAGCUGCUUAUGGGCUCCAUGUGUGUUCACAUCCUGAAGCACAGUUGAAGAGCCUGUUUGUCUCUCAUGUGCACUGGCAGAUGGGGGCUGCAUCGAGGACCUGCAAAGUCUACAAUUGCAAAUGGGACUUAAAUUCCAGGGUGGUAGGAGUCCAAUAUUUGACCUCAGCAGGAGAACUACAAAGCUAGCAAUGGCCAAGGAAGAAACAGAACUCUAAUCAAGACUGAAUUAAUGCUGACGUGAUGAUUUGAAACCCAACAUGAAAAAUAGAACAACAGCAGAUCUGCCCGUAUAUGGUCUGAUAUUGCCACCCAGCCUGAAUUGCUGUUGAGAGCUUGUAAUUUAUUGCACGAGCAUGCCUGAUUGCUGUCAUUGUGCCAGAGGUUUGAUACUCCUGAAAUCUGAAUGGGGAAGGAGAGUAGAUCAUAUCUGAAAAUAAACUAUGAAAUUAAAAUUUCUGUGGCAGAGGCUUGAUUACCAUAUCUUCAGAUAAGCAGCUGGAGGUUACUGAGUAUGAAUUUCAUAAGGAUCAUAUGGUGCUAUUAAUACUCAGCAUUUUUUUCUGUAAAUCUAUACAAUGAAACUGAGCAUUUUUUUCUCUACCUCAUGGCUUUAGAAACCAAACCGUACAAGUAUAGGGACAGAUUUUGCAUGAAAAAGGAGUUUGAAUUCCAAUUCCCUCUUGUGGCAGAAACCCAAGUCCACACAGGACUUGAUUUAGAGAAAAACUAAAACAAAAUAAAACCACUGGAAAUUCUUUAAUGGAUUACAAUUGGAUUUGAAACAGACCACUCUCAGCUGCAUCAGAGAGGCAUAACAGAGCCUCUCUAUGUCCUCCAGCUAGUGACCAAAGCAAAACAGUGCAGCAGUAACAGCUUCAGACAGCUACGAUUUAAAUCAAAGGUCUGAUCUUCUGCUGAUUUUCAUCCUUUCCACACUCACUGAAUCAGAGACUCACUGAAUCAGAAUGGGUAUGCUCAGAAGGGACCAGAGUGCCUCAUCUGGUCCAGCAUUGCAGAGAAUAAUUACAUUACUGUGGGCCUAUAGGCUGAUUGCAUUGAAACAAACACCUUGUUAAAAUUUGUAUUACCAGCUGUUCUCCUUGUAUGUCUCAAUUUUAAGACAGUAGCCAAUGAAACUGUCAUUUUGGCUCUCAUCACUUGGGGUUCUAGCUCAGUGUAAGGCCAUCUCCAGUCUUCAGGCACUGUUAGAAGUACUUUCUUUUAAAACAAACUUCCAUGAAAUCACUUCUGUGUCUACAGGUUCCAGAACCUCGACACUGUGUUGCUGACAUUUUAGGCUUUGGCAAUACAGUAAAACAAUUACAUUAGGUGGGGUUUCCCUUCUACUUUAGAGAUCUUGAGCACAGCUUCUUCCAUCCUGACAGCAGCCACUUGACAUUCAAAGCAUACUAGGGGCAGAUAAUGUACUAAGAACAAUGACAAAUUAAUCCAAAAACAUUUUAGAAAAGCAAUGAAUAACAGGCUUUAAUUGCUACAGCCAUGUUGGUCAAAAAAUUCCCUAAAUCUACUAAAUCUAUAUUCAACCACACCCUAGCCAGUUGUUUCAAGACUGCAGGACCAAGCCCAUUAGUACUGGCGCCUCUAUUUAUAUUUUUACAGUAGUACAUGGUUCAAUUUAUAUGUUAGUUUAUUUAUGCCCAAAUAUGUAAUAGAAUUACAACUGACAUGGCAUACAUGGUUUAAUAUUGAGUAGGCUAUAUUGAAAUCAGGGAGGCAUUUGAGGUGCAACAUGCUAUUUAGAUAAGCUAGAAGAGAAAGUCCAAAUUAAAAAAUACAAUGAAAAAUGUUUAUCUCGAAUUUAUUUUCAAACUCUUUGUAAUAGUUUGGUUGUUUUGUCUCCCUUCAUGGCUCAUAAGAACGACAUCUGUUCUUACUGAUAACCUGCAAACUGCACAUCUGCUAUCAGAAUUUCAUAUCAGAUACCUUCUGUCUUCAUCAUGGCUUGCUUGUUUAUAUGCUUAAGGUGCUGUAUUUGUUACUGAAUAUGUAAGCUCUUUGAAGCAGCUAUUUUUGCAAGAUCUUGAAGUGA
Molecule: long non-coding RNA, 2205 nt
Organism: Passer domesticus (house sparrow)
Lineage: Eukaryota; Metazoa; Chordata; Aves; Passeriformes; Passeridae
Exons: 3
Source: RefSeq, a predicted model, not a curated record